RNAcentral lists this ribosomal RNA (68 nucleotides) under Spyridium buxifolium. RNAcentral describes it as "partial 26S ribosomal RNA". The record is from RNAcentral. Lineage: Eukaryota; Viridiplantae; Streptophyta; Magnoliopsida; Rosales; Rhamnaceae.
UGCGACCUCAGGUCAGGCGGGGCUAAUUCGUUGGAUGUUCCUUGGCGCGGUUUGCGCCGGGGUUCGUU